CUUGUUAAAACCCUGUUGGAUAGCCACUCCUUGAUUUGAUAUAUCUACGGAUUUAUCGCUAUGUUUAGCUGAUUACCUCGAUAUUAAUACGCUUAGGAACUGAUUAGUCAACAUCAUUACUACUCUCUUUGACAAAUGCAAUGGUUUUACAAUAGAUUAAAUAUAUUGAGUGUGUUGGUGUGAGUAUGGGUUGGGAUUUCAAAAAACUGAUAAAUAAACAACUUGGUGUUGGUGAUUAUUUAGAUGGGGCGAAUCAAGGUUCUUUGUGUGGGACACCUUGGAGUAUUGGCUCGUGCCUGUGUUGCUGAUUAUGGAAGAUAUCCACCUUGUCAUCGAGUUGAUGUGUUAUCUUCCCUAAUCUAAUUUGUCGUACAACCACUCGACCUUUGUGUGUGGAAAAGGCUUAGCAUAAAUCCCACUAGCUAGUCUAGUAGUCAUCUGUAGGCAAGUGCGCAACGGGAGGCCAAGGAGCAGGCGCAAGCAAGUACUAGAUUAGUGGCCCAGUUGAAGAGCUCGUAGGAAGGUCAAGAACCCUUGGUUAGCUCUCGUGGAC
RNAcentral lists this long non-coding RNA (553 nucleotides) under Setaria viridis. RNAcentral's name for it is "long non-coding RNA (SVIR_LNC000805)". Lineage: Eukaryota; Viridiplantae; Streptophyta; Magnoliopsida; Poales; Poaceae. The record is from RNAcentral.